UCCUUAGGAUACUCUUCAGCCAGACUGGAGUGGGGAGAAGGCGAUGGGGGGGGGGGGGAACUAGGGAUAACGGGGAGAAAGAUCGGCUCUCUCAACCAAGGAAACCGGAAAACAGUGCCCCCUCCCUUGCCUGCGGGCUCCUCCUCGGACUCAGUGUACCCCAGAGAAGGGAUAGCACCCCCGAGGAAAGAAGGGGGUCCGGGUCCCACUGUCCUAGGUGAGGAUCCCUUCCUUGCCUUCCCACAAGUUCUGAUUUUUCAUUUCACUCUCCCUCCCGUUCCCCCCCCCCCCUUCUGUCCCCACUCCUGACAGCUGCCACGGAGAAAGAGGAAAGGAAGCCAAGGGCGACUCCAGUUUCCUCCGGUUAUGGUCUGGUGUUGUCGGCCACUUCGCCAUCGCGCCACAGUGAGCCUGCCCUUAGAACACCCCCACCCCACCUUCCAGCCCAAUUCAGACUCGGUUCGGUAAGUCCCGGAUGUUGAGGGUGCAGGGCGAGGCCAGAGCCGGUUCGAGUGAGCCCUAGGCGGGGCCAGAGAUGCGCCGGCUUCCGCGGCGGCCGAGCCCCUGGAUUGCAGGGCACAGAGGGCCCAGACGGUGAAGGUUCCCGUCGUGAAGCAUUUCGGGGGCGGGGGGCGGCCUUGAAAGAUUUCGCUGCCGUUCCUCCCCACUGGUGACUUCUCCACCUGUAGGCGGCGGCGGCGCGAGACAGUGGCGGGUGCGGGUGGGAGGAGCGGGUUUCCAAAAUCCCCUUUUACAUUUCUGAUUAGGGUAGCUCGCUGCACCGCCCGCAGCCCCCAGGGAGCCCUUUCCUCGGGAAAGGAAAGGUGAGCCGCCUUGGGCAGCAGAAGAUCCUAGAACGUGCGCCGUCAAAGGGGCAGAGAGGACCUAGGCGGCCUUAGAAACGCUUAGGGGCCCAGGAGCGUGCUAAGGCUUUUCCCAGCCCGCCGUCCUUUGGACCAGGACAGCUCGGGGCUUCUCCGAGAGGAAAUGUUUAUGUGGUCCCCAGUGCCCGCUAGCCAGCGCUCUGACCCCUUGGCCCACUUGUUCUCCAAACACCGCAAAGCGAGGGGCGCAUCCCGGAGAAUAGAAACCUGGGAUUUCCCCAGCCUAGGAGAGAGAAGGCUCGGUCUCCCUCCCCACCCCCGCCCGAAGUGUCAAGUUUCUUCUAGGGGAGGGGGUGGGCUGCGAGGUCUGCCUUCGCGCGCGGCCCAGGCUGCAAAAUCGACUCUCCCCCCUCGGCGGACAAGGCCGCGCGCGCGCACACACACACAACACACUCAUGCACAUUCACACAAACACAUGCACAGACACACGCACCGGCGUGCUUCCGAGACACCGGCGGAGAAGACUGCUGGCCGCGCGCACUUUCCGAGCUUCCCGACGGGCGGGGCGCGCGGGGCGGGGCGCGCGGGCAGCGGAGAAAUUGAUAACAGAUUCGGCGGAUUACAGCGGAUCUCUUUGUUAGAGGCGAAGCCACACAUACCGAACCGACUUUGGGCCGGAAGACCCCGGGGAGAGUCCGCCCGUUCCCAGCUAGGAGUGGGCCAUUGGGUCUACGAGACUCGGUCUCCCCAGCUCCAUACUGGGGAUAGGCCAGCUGUGUCCCAAAGGGGAUCGGGCAGGAGAGCCUCGCGAGUCGCGUCUCCACUUAACCCCGCGCGCUUGCCCGGAAACACCUUGGCCUUCCUCCCGCUCCAAUCCCCAUGCAACCCCCAAAAAAGGCCCCACAAGUUUGAAGCACUGAAAGAAUCCACAGCGAAGUAAUAAAUACAUCGACUUUGUAGGGUAAACACCCCUGCCUGUUUACCAAGAGAUCUGAACCGAAAAGACCGUACGAAACGAGACCUCUCUGGACACUGUCACACCAGGGCUAAAACAAAAGUUCUGCGCAGAGACUGAGUUUACCAAAGAACGGGCUGAAUGUUUUCGGACACUUCCAGGGCCCGGCGAAACUCACUAAUGUACGGAUCCUCAGAAUCUGUUCCUAGCGUGCGAUGGGGAGGGGGAUUUCGGGUACUUGAGAGGUUCUAGCCCAAGGGAGGGGUGAGGUGGGGGUAGGGCGUUCCUGCGCCCUUGUUUCCAAAGUCAGAGCAGCUCAACGCAGUGAUGCUUACUCGGUAUCUCCCAAAGCCUUAGCAUUGGAUUGAGGUGUGCCUAAACCUUCUUUAUCAACUGGGGUGCAGGCGGGGGGGGGGGGGGACGGGGGUGAAGAGGGGUGAGAGAGGGGAAACCAUCACUCUGGUUAGAAGAGGUUCCUGGGUCACAGAAAGCUUCCCUACCACGCGCAGCACCCAAAUCCUCGGCCCCACCGCCCCUAAAGAGAAAUUCCGCAAAGGCAGGGAGAAGAUUCUCGACCCUUGGCCACUGGUGCUACCUCACUCGGUCUGGGCAUGCCCUUCCACUAGGCUUUUUGCGUCCAGAGUGCCCCCCCGCCCCCCCCAAGUCUGUGAAAAUGGAAAUGAUGAGGGAGACCAGCGAGGAGUCUGAAAUGUACGACCUGGGCUCACGGUGGCUAAAAGGAUAGGACACUCCAAGAAUGCCAGCUCUUGGUGGGAAAUAGACUUUGUCUUCCCCACUGUGAUCUCUCCUUGAAGGAGAGAAACAGAAAAUUGCGGAAGAUAAGAGGCAUCAACCACAGCAUUGGGACGCCUUGCUCCAGGAAAUGCAGAGAGAAGCGGAGCGGAUAAGGAUGAGCAAGCCCAGGCGGACAGGAGAUCUGCUUUGGGGGAGCAGGCAAGGAGGGAGCAAUCCCUCACUCCCCUAGCCUGGGAGCCGGGUGUCCCAGGCUGCCCCUCGCAGCUGCCAAAGAACGGUGUCUGCUGCGCUCCAAGUGUGUGGUAUGUGUAGGGGGUGGGGGGUGUAGGGAAGCCAGACAGAGAAGGUGGUGGGAGCUCCUUGCGCCCAAAUCAGUGCAAGGAUUGCCCAGGCUCAGGACUGAACCGCAGGUCCCUUAACAAGGACUCUCCAAAGGCAGAAUUGUGGCCAAGCCCGGCUCUGUUCCCUGUCUCCCCACUUCCAUCCCCUGGACAAGUCUCUCCAGACUUCAAGACUCUCUCUUUAUCCUCGCACACACGUAUCACUUCCACCUUCUCACACAGGUUGUCUAACUCCUAGCACAGGUUCUCAACUCUAUCCAGAAGAACAUAGUGUCCAGUGGAAGGAGAAAACACUAAAGAUCAGUUCAACCCCUAUCCUUCAGAGGCAGUUUGAACUCCACUUUUUAAUAGACGAAGAAAUUGAGGCCGAGAAAGAGAAAGCAACACUUGUCACCUCCCACUGACGGCACUGGUCAGAGCGCAGAAGCCGGACCCUAGGCCUCCUAGGGCGACGCUCCCGUUCCUUCACCCUGGUGAGGAGGUAAACCCUUCCUCCACACGCCCUAGCCCGGUUUGCUGGAUGGGACCUCUGGCCCCUUCCGUACGGCGGCGGCCGCGCAUUGCAGCUUGUCCUCUGGGAGUCUCGGAGAGGCCCUCCUGGGAGGGGAGAACCUGGUGGUCGGGAAGAACCAACGGAGCCAGAGGUGGGAGGGAGAGGAGAGCGGCUGCCUACCGGCCCCAAAGAACAGACUCCCAGGUGUCCUACCUCAAGGCAGCCAACAGGGGGCAGUCGGCACCGCACGGCGAGGAUGAAAAGGCAGCGGGACAAGCAGAACUCCGCGCGCACGGGCACGGAUCUACACACUCGGGACAGAAUUUCCGCGGCCUCUCCAUCGCUUGCGCGCACUCAGCAUUGCCCCCUCGAAACUCCCCUGGCAGAGGCUUUCUAGAAACGAAAUCUCCAUUAUCAGGCUGGAGCAGCCUGAAUAUUGGCGGGAGGGCAGGGUCUGUAGGUGUGAUCCCAACCCAGCCUCCAAGUGACUUCCCAAACAUCGAGUUGUCCAUUUAAAGACGCAAGAGGAGAAGGCGCCCCGAUGCCAAACUGGACUUGUAAAGUAAAACAAGGCCGCGGGGUCUCCAGGUUUCGGGUUCUUUUUAAACUUUUUUUUGGUGGGGGAUGGAGGGGGGAUUUGUUUGUUUUCGAAAAUAUCUUCUAAUUCCAACCUUAUUUUCAAGAAAAGUAAAACAGAUCAAGAAGAGUGGAAAUAAGGAUCGAAACUUGGAGGACAGGGAUAGGAGAAGUUGUUUGCAAAAUAGCAAGUUAUAUUGCAGGAAGAAAUGUUAACUUUUCGCAAAAGUGAA
Molecule: long non-coding RNA, 4178 nt
Organism: Acinonyx jubatus (cheetah)
Lineage: Eukaryota; Metazoa; Chordata; Mammalia; Carnivora; Felidae
Exons: 2
Source: RefSeq, a predicted model, not a curated record